This 652-nucleotide ribosomal RNA is filed under the name uncultured Actinomycetes bacterium. RNAcentral describes it as "bacterial SSU rRNA". It matches the Rfam family "Bacterial small subunit ribosomal RNA", at positions 843 to 1471 of the family's 1533-position model. Lineage: Bacteria; Bacillati; Actinomycetota; Actinomycetes. The record is from RNAcentral.
GCCCGGUAGCUAAACGCCAUUAAGUACCCCGCCUGGGGAAUUCCGGCCGCCAGGGCUAAAACUCAAAGGAAAUUGGACGGGGGGCCCGCCACAAGGCGGCGGAGCCAUGUGGCUUAAUUCGGACGCAACCGCGAAAGAACCUUUACCCAAGGCUUGACAUACACCGGAAAACCCUGGAGACAGGGUCCCCCUUGUGGUCGGUGUACAGGUGGUGCAUGGCUGUCGUCAGCUCGUGUCGUGAGAUGUUGGGUUAAGUCCCGCAACGAGCGCAACCCUUGUUCUGUGUUGCCAGCAUGCCCUUCGGGGUGAUGGGGACUCACAGGAGACCGCCGGGGUCAACUCGGAGGAAGGUGGGGACGACGUCAAGUCAUCAUGCCCCUUAUGUCUUGGGCUGCACACGUGCUACAAUGGCCGGUACAAUGAGCUGCGAUACCGUGAGGUGGAGCGAAUCUCAAAAAGCCGGUCUCAGUUCGGAUUGGGGUCUGCAACUCGACCCCAUGAAGUCGGAGUCGCUAGUAAUCGCAGAUCAGCAUUGCUGCGGUGAAUACGUUCCCGGGCCUUGUACACACCGCCCGUCACGUCACGAAAGUCGGUAACACCCGAAGCCGGUGGCCCAACCCCUGUGGGAGGGAGCUGUCGAAGGUGGGGCUGG